AUUGAACGCUGGCGGCGUGCCUAACACAUGCAAGUCGAGCGGUAACAGGUGUAGCAAUACAUGCUGACGAGCGGCGAACGGGUGAGUAAUGCUUCGGAAUCUACCCAAUGGUGGGAAUAACCAGCCGAAAGGUUGGCUAAUACCGCAUACGUCCCACGGGAGAAAGCGAGGGGAUCGCAAGACCUUGCGCCAAUGGAUGAGCCGAAGUCGGAUUAGCUAGUUGGAGGGUAACGGCCUACCAAGGCGACGAUCCGUAGCUGGUCUGAGAGGACGACCAGCCACACUGGGACUGAGACACGGCCCAGACUCCUACGGGAGGCAGCAGUGGGGAAUAUUGGACAAUGGGGGAAACCCUGAUCCAGCGACGCCGCGUGUGUGAAGAAGGCCU
This 388-nucleotide ribosomal RNA is filed under the name uncultured bacterium. RNAcentral describes it as "bacterial SSU rRNA". It matches the Rfam family "Bacterial small subunit ribosomal RNA", at positions 29 to 417 of the family's 1533-position model. The record is from RNAcentral.